Molecule: long non-coding RNA, 242 nt
Filed under: Phoenix dactylifera (date palm)
Lineage: Eukaryota; Viridiplantae; Streptophyta; Magnoliopsida; Arecales; Arecaceae
Description: long non-coding RNA (PDAC_LNC009231)
Source: RNAcentral
AGGAAGAAGAAGGAAGAAAAUAGCAAAGCAAACACAAAGAUGUAACGAGGUUCGGCUACAAAUAGCCUACGUCCUCCACCGCUCCAAAUCUCAAUAAGGAUGAACUGAUUACAGAGAUAGCACACACCCGAACGAUCACAAGCGAUCGAUCUACAAGAGAUUCACACAGAAUUCCCUUUGCACAAGAAGUAGGAUCCCAAUCCUCUUCUUCUCUAGAACCCUAGCCUCACAAACAAGAGUNN